This 443-nucleotide ribosomal RNA is filed under the name uncultured bacterium. RNAcentral describes it as "partial 16S ribosomal RNA". It matches the Rfam family "Bacterial small subunit ribosomal RNA", at positions 338 to 795 of the family's 1533-position model. The record is from RNAcentral.
CCUACGGGAGGCAGCAGUGGGGAAUAUUGGGCAAUGGGCGCAAGCCUGACCCAGCAACGCCGCGUGAAGGAAGAAGGCUUACGGGUUGUAAACUUCUUUUCUCAGGGACGAAGCAAGUGACGGUACCUGAGGAAUAAGCCAAGGCUAACUACGUGCCCGCAGCCGCGGCAAUACGUAGGUGGCAAGCAUUAUCCGGAUUUACGGGUUGUAAAGGGCGUGUAGGCGGGAUAGCUAGUGAGAUGUGAAAAGCAUGGGCUCAACCUGUGGCCUGACUUUGAAACUGUUUUUCUUGAGUACUGGAGAGGCAGACGGAAUUCGUGGUGUAGCGGUGAAAUGCGUAGAUAUCAGGAGGAACACCAGUGGCGAAGGCAGUCUGCUGGACAGCAACUGACGCUGAGGCGCGAAAGCGUGGGGAGCAAACAGGAUUAGAUACCCCUGUAGUC